UCAUUUCUUUGAUUCUAUCGACUGCUGCUUCUGGGCGUGAACUGAUGCUCAAGCAACGCUGUUUUUGCCUUCAGUUCCGUGAGCCCAGUGAGGCUUAGCAGGAGUGCGUCGCAAUGCCUUCACUCCAAAUGGGUUGCCCUUGCUCUGUUCAGGAGUUCAAAUAAUCAAAAACAUAAAAUUAGAUUUGUAUGAAUGAUGAUAUACAUAAAAUGGUUGGAGAAGCUAAGUGUAGUUUGUCUUACAAUCAAGCAGGUUCCUUCAUUAACGUUGCAGACUGGGUACUCAUGUGGGCAGCAGCUAUAAUGGUCAUCACAGCAGGUGGCACCCUCGAGUGGGCAGCAUCCCCAUGCAAAGCAAUACUUUCCAUACUCAAAGAUGCAGCAGCAAGUACUGCUAUCAGGGCAGGAAAAGUAAUUAUCACACACGGAAGGAGGUUUUACUGGAGAUGGAGGCGAUGGACCAGGAUUGGGGGGAUUUUGGCCUUUCUUGAUAGGGUAAGAGGGUUCUAUUGCAAUUCCACAUUUUCCUGUUGGACUAGCAAUGUUUCUCUCCAUUCUGAUAUAGCCGCUCUCUCCCCAGCUCUUGCCCCAUGAGUUCCUCACAAUCCAGUAAUCUUUACCCUUUUCAGUUCCGUAACCCACGGCAGCAACACCAUGGUCCAGACUUGUCCCACAUUCUCCAGUAAAUACACCCUGGAAGGUAAGGAAAUAAGAUGUAAUUAAUUAUGAUCGGUUCUUGUAGCCAUUACUCAAUUGAACUGCAUGUUUGACACUUCAACAAAGUUCUACUGUGCUUUAAAACAUCAAAACCAUCAUCAGGUCUUGUACUUAAUACCAUGUCAGGGAGAGAAAUU
This 853-nucleotide long non-coding RNA is filed under the name Populus trichocarpa (black cottonwood). RNAcentral describes it as "long non-coding RNA (PTRI_LNC003201)". The record is from RNAcentral. Lineage: Eukaryota; Viridiplantae; Streptophyta; Magnoliopsida; Malpighiales; Salicaceae.